AGUGAACGCUGGCGGUAGGCCUAACGCAUGCAAGUCGAACGGCAGCACAGUAAGAGCUUGCUCUUACGGGUGGCGAGUGGCGGACGGGUGAGGAAUACAUCGGAAUCUACUUUUUCGUGGGGGAUAACGUAGGGAAACUUACGCUAAUACCGCAUACGACCUACGGGUGAAAGCAGGGGAUCUUCGGACCUUGCGCGAUUGAAUGAGCCGAUGUCGGAUUAGCUAGUUGGCGGGGUAAAGGCCCACCAAGGCGACGAUCCGUAGCUGGUCUGAGAGGAUGAUCAGCCACACUGGAACUGAGACACGGUCCAGACUCCUACGGGAGGCAGCAGUGGGGAAUAUUGGACAAUGGGCGAAAGCCUGAUCCAGCCAUACCGCGUGGGUGAAGAAGGCCUUCGGGUUGUAAAGCCCUUUUGUUUGGAAAGAAAAGCAGUAGGUUAAUACCCCGCUGUUCUGACGGUACCCAAAGAAUAAGCACCGGCUAACUUCGUG
Molecule: ribosomal RNA, 492 nt
Filed under: uncultured bacterium
Lineage: Bacteria
Description: partial 16S ribosomal RNA
Rfam family: Bacterial small subunit ribosomal RNA
Source: RNAcentral